UCAAACGGGUGACAGAAAAACGAAGCUGGUGAAGUGUCUGGAGGACAAGUCCUGUGAGGAGCAGCUGAGGGAGCUGGGGGUAUUUAGCCUGGAGGAAAGGAGGCUUCUCUUCAACUUUCUGAAAGGAGGGUGUAGCCAGGUCUGAGGAAUCACUGCAGUCUGGGUGUGUGUAGGCAGCCUCUACCCAGACAAAAGGCAGAGCAACAUGUACAGCCCUGAUCCAGCAUAAUGUACAGCCCAACCAAAGGUUGGAGAGACAGGGAUUUGAUGGAUGGACUGCUCGAUGGGUAAAGAACUGGCUGGACAGCUGCACACAAAGAAUUGUGCUCAACAGCUCAUAGUCCACAUGGAGACCAGCAUGUUCAUACCCUGCAUGAGAAAAGUUCUUAGUAAAGUAUGAAGAUGGACAUUUCACAGAUUCAAACUGGUGCCAAGACAGGCUUUUAAGGAUAAAGAAUACUGUGCAGGAUUUAUUUUAGGGCGGUUUCUGAUUAGCUGCUCAUCACUAUUAUGUCUGGAUCACAGUAUUGGCAGUUUUUACAGUCAGGUGUUUGGAUAGCAUGCUCAUUAUCCAAAGGCUCACACUUCCCAAGCUCAGGUGACAGAUGAAGCAGCCCAUCCAUGCACUUCCAGCUGGAGGAGCAAGGAAGAGGAUUCGGAAGGGCAAAAGGCUGGGAAGAUGCAUCUUUGUGUCCCUUGCAGUGGCUAGCAAGAGGUCAAGUCUCACUUUCACCAAAGAAGCAGUAGCAGUAGCCUUACAAUGUGCCUAAGACUCCAAGGAAAGAUCUGUGAAGAGCCUACACUGUUGGAUGGAGAGAACUCACAACAAUGUUAUUCCUGUAACUGCAGCAGGCAGCAAAAUUAAGAUUUGAGGGAAUUUAAAUAUAUAACCUCCAAUUCUGCUUCCCAUGAGUAUUUCAUAUGAGUUACAUUGAAACUGAAGAAAGAAGGACAGGAUGAAUGUGAUUUUAUGUAAAUCUGUUGAGAAUGUGGCAUGAGUAUUCACAAAAAGGCUUUUUAUGCAUUAGUUAUUCCUCCAUAGUUAAAUGUAUGAUGCUCAUCAGCUAUGGCAGGGAAAUGUGCACCUGCAGAAAGAAAUCUGGUGAGAAUAUGAUAAAGGUCUUGCUUGGCUGAAGCACAAAUUACCAGCAGACUUAGGUGCAGAAGUUAAUCUUGUGAUGAUGAUGACGAUUCACUUGGGGGAAUUGUGAGGAGUUUGUAAUAUGAGUUAUAUCGAUUUGUAGUUAUUGCAUAAAUGCAAAUAUUUAGAUGGACUGUGCACAGUAGUUUGCCACAACAGGAAAAAGCAGUGGUAGAGGAAGGGUUUUUUUCCAUCUCACUUAUGUAUGUAACCGUUGUCCAAGACACUCUGUACACUCCAUGGAGAGAUACAGACACUUUAAGGAAGUGAUUCAUCUCAGUUUUAGACAUCUAAAAUAAGGCAGAUGGAACAGUCUAUCUCUCUCCACAGAUGAACUUUUAGUCUGAAUUGCAUUCUAACAAGCAGGCCCACUGCAUAAAGAAUAUGACUACCUGCAGGCAAACAGAGAUCCUAUCUCAGCACCCUGCCACUAAUAUGGUCAAAUACAAAGUGAUAGUGCCUGUCUAUACAACAAAUUCAUUUUCAGCUGCAGCAGAAAUAUCUGAUGAAUCAGUCACAGUUGUGCUUUAAUGUAUAGUCAAAUUUACACAACACAAAGCAUGGCAUUCUAGUCUAUCAGGAAUUAACCCCCACCAUGCAGAAAAGUUUCAGUUUGCAUUUUUGAAGUUUGUAUUAAGGAAGAACAAUUCUGGUGCGGCUAUAAAUUCAGAUUUCUUUUUUUUUUUUUUUUUUUCCCUGAAUAAUUGAGUUGGAUUUGGAUUUGAUUUUGCAAAGAUGCAGGACAUUAUCUGUACGCAAAUUCCCCUGAAUACUUGGAAGAGAAGGACAGGGUGCCUCAUGCGAUCAAGUCCUCAGUCCAUGCAGAAUGCCUGUAUCUGAACUGCAGUGCUCCUUAGAUGUGUAACAUUUUGAAAUGCCCUGCAAAACUAUCACUUACCCUCCACUACUGCUUCCAGAUGCCAGACAGAAUGAGUCAGGUGUCUAAGCAUGGCUGAUUGGCCAAGCCCUAUCUAUAAUUGAUGGAGACAAGCACCUCUGAGGGGAGAUUCAGAUGUUCUAUGGAGAUUGUGAAUCACAUUGCCUACCUCUUGCCAGGGGUUAUUUCUUGGCACCCUGACUCACUUUGGGGCACCUUUCAGUUGCACUGAUGCUGCUCUUUUUGUUUGUGGCAUUCAUCAAGUUGCUUAAAUUGUUUGGGUUAAAAAAAACAAAAACAAAACUCCAAGCACUUCUCCCCAUACUACCAACUAAAAGGAAGUCUAUUCCCUGCCUCUACCUUACUGUGUGUUGGUGUAGAAUUUUAUGAAAAUCAAGUGUUUUUAAAACAGCAAAGGCAAUCUAUCCAGGGAACUAAUUUAAAUAAAAAAUGUGCUUUUGUUGUGUCUUAUGUGCUUUUGUCCAGGCAUUAAAGAACAAAAUAAAAGGAUGUGU
This is a long non-coding RNA of Poecile atricapillus (Black-capped chickadee), 2533 nucleotides long. RefSeq lists it as uncharacterized. NCBI's taxonomy places the organism in Eukaryota, Metazoa, Chordata, Aves, Passeriformes, Paridae. The record is from RefSeq and is a predicted model, not a curated record. The transcript has 7 exons.